Molecule: long non-coding RNA, 2172 nt
Filed under: Helianthus annuus (common sunflower)
Lineage: Eukaryota; Viridiplantae; Streptophyta; Magnoliopsida; Asterales; Asteraceae
Description: hypothetical non coding rna
Source: RNAcentral
CAAACAAGGGGCAAACCCUUGUUCACCCAAGAAUCAUCAAAUUGAAGAGGAAAUUGGACUUCAAAUUCGUGCAUGAACGCAUAUUAACGAUCACCUAAACAAGGGGAUAAUAAGAAAUCAUCAUGUCUAGGUGGAAGCUUGGGAAGAAGCGGGUCAAACGGAUCAAAUAUGGGAGAAAAGCAUAAUUGGAAUGCAAGGUAAGUUAAGCUUACAUCUUGAAAAUAGUACAUCUACUUUUGUGUUUGAUUAAGGACAAGCGACUUAGCUUUGAAAUGAAUCCUUGAAAUAUGACGUUUCGAUGCGAAUCGAUACGGAUCGGAACAAAUAAAAAUGGUAGGAAACCAUAUUUGAUGGUAAAAGGAUAAAAUGGUAAUUUAGUCACGUGUUGACGGAUAAACAAUGAGUUUUGAAAAGUUACUUUAUGGUGUAAGCCAUAAUGGGUAAAAAGGGUAAAAUGGUAAUUUAGUCACGUGUUGACGAAUAAGGGUUGAAGUAUUUAAAAGACGCCCUAUGGUGUAAGCCAUGAUGGGUCAAACGCGUAAGGAAAGGACUUUAAGAAAUACGACCAUAUAGUGAAAAUCCGUAAUGGGACAAAUGAGUGAAAUGGUAAAUAAAUACCAUUCUGCUAUAUAGAUAUAAUGUUUGAUCGUUUAGGCCAAACGGGUCAAAUGGUGACAAUAACGACUAAUGUUUACUUGUUGAGUCUUAUUCUCACAGGGGCGAAUAGCGUAAAGGAUUGCAUUGCUAUUAAUUAGCAACUAAUAAGGUGAGGUAUUAAAAUGGGUUAAUGCUUUGACCCGAGCUAGGUAUGUGUAAUGGGUCAAACUCUCAAUAAGGUCUUAGGGCCGUGGAGAGCUAAUUGAGUUAUGGUCGAACAAUUGGAUGUACCUAAAUUAAGGUAUAUCUAGCGAUUUGAAUUUGAGAUAUUAUGUUCUUCGGGACAUAAUUAAUUUAAAAUGGAAUAUGGGUUAAAAGAGUACAUUUGGUCAAAACAAGUAUAUAAAAUGUCCUUUGUAGUUAAAAGAACUAAAAUUUGACAAAAACGCCCCCGAAUAGCAAAUCGGGCAAGUGGCCUUUAAAGGUAGUUUGAAUAUGAGUUUUAUAAUUUGGUCAAUCCUUCCGGUAGUAUACAGUGGAAGGUUUAAACUAUUUGGGCAUAAUGCUACAUAAAGGGUCAAUUUCGUAAAAUUGUCAAACUUGAGGGUAGGAUAGGAACAUAAUGAUUUCUAUCACAAUCCAUAACAAUUAAAGUUGUGAUGAUAGGUAAAUAAAGAUCAUAAAGUGGGAGCGCAUGUUAUGAAUGGUGAAACUAAGAUAUCGGUCAAAAUAAGUUUUUGUUUGGUCAAAGUAUUCAAACGGGUCAAAAUAAAUGCGUAAACGCAAACCGCGUAAUGGGAGCGUAAACGCAUGUUUAGCAAACCCGGAGGAGGGUUAAAAUAGGUAAGGAAUCAAUCCUUACCAUAGAAAUGUGGAUAAUAUGGCUAAAUAUGGUAACGGGUCAAAUAAUGGCAUAAAUUAAUCUUAAGCCGCUAUCAAGAAGUGUGAGAAUUCAUUAUCCCGGAGGGCAGAUUUUCAGUCUAUAAUAUGGGUGAUCAAUUUACGAUCACAUAGGAACAAACUUGAGGUAAAACGGAUAAGUGUACAAAAAGAUAUGUAAGUUUUUUUUUGUUAAAGGGCAAAAUAGGAAAGACAAGAACCAGCAGGCAUGUACCGUAACCUACGGCCGACUGCCGUAGGCUACGGUGGUAAAGAAAAGACAGCAGAAUCAAGCCAUUUACGGCUGAGUUCCGUCGGCUACCGCAGACGUUGACUGCCUUCUUGUUGUUUAAGGGUCCCGUAGGCUAUGACACAUAUGUCGUAGCUUACGGAGGGUUUCAUAUAUAUAUUUUUGUUUGUUUGUUUGAUAAAUUUGGGUUACUAAUCCAUGUCUAAGCACCCUAUAAUUAGCAUAUGAGUUGUUAUUGGUGUAUAGGUGAUAGCUAGGACCUUACGGAUGAAGAUCAAGCAUAAUGGACGAACCGAACACAACAGAAGAUCAAAAAUUCCGCUUUUGUUUAGUUUUUUUUUAUAAUAACAAACUAUGUUAACGUAAUGAUCGUUUCAAAUACUUACGAAGUUUUAUCCAUAAUUUUGUAUGAAUGGAUAUUUGCAUUAUAAUUAUAAAUGCAAGAU